This 251-nucleotide ribosomal RNA is filed under the name Escherichia coli. RNAcentral's name for it is "partial 16S ribosomal RNA". It matches the Rfam family "Bacterial small subunit ribosomal RNA", at positions 1 to 246 of the family's 1533-position model. Lineage: Bacteria; Pseudomonadati; Pseudomonadota; Gammaproteobacteria; Enterobacterales; Enterobacteriaceae. The record is from RNAcentral.
UUAAAUUGAAGAGUUUGAUCAUGGCUCAGAUUGAACGCUGGCGGCAGGCCUAACACAUGCAAGUCGAACGGUAACAGGAAUCAGCUUGCUGAUUCGCUGACGAGUGGCGGACGGGUGAGUAAUGUCUGGGAAACUGCCUGAUGGAGGGGGAUAACUACUGGAAACGGUAGCUAAUACCGCAUAACGUCGCAAGACCAAAGAGGGGGACCUUCGGGCCUCUUGCCAUCGGAUGUGCCCAGAUGGGAUUAGCU